UUUGCCCAUCCACCUUAAUUAUUUCUUAUAUCUCUUCGCAAUUACAACAAAAAAAUUAUGAUCUCUCUCUCUCCCUCCCCCUCCGUCUCUCCGCCGAAAUACUCUCCACCGUCACAUCGGCGAUCGGAACUGAAUAUCUGACGCACGACGUUGUUUAGCAACUGGAUCUCCGACGCACGAACUGGACCUCUAAUGCACGACGCGGACUGGAACCAGAUCUCCGAUUCUCUCCUCUGCCUCUCUCUCUCCCCCUCCUCUCUCCGGCGAGACACUCUUCUCCACCAUCACGUCGGUGAUUGGAACUGAAUCCCCGACAGGCGCCGUUUCGCGACUAGAUCUUGGACGCACGAAACGGAUCUCCGAUGCACGACGGCGAUUAGAACCAGAUCUCUGAUUCUCUCCUCUUCCUCUCAACUCCACCGGUCACGUCUCCAUCUCAAGCUCCCUCGACG
This 452-nucleotide long non-coding RNA is filed under the name Rosa chinensis. RNAcentral describes it as "sRNA RchiOBHm_Chr7g0202761". The record is from RNAcentral. Lineage: Eukaryota; Viridiplantae; Streptophyta; Magnoliopsida; Rosales; Rosaceae.